GUGCAGGCCGGGCAGCACGGCCGUGCUCGGCCCCCGCCCAGCCCUGGGCUGAAACCCCCCGCCCCGCCGGGAGCGGAGCGCCGAGCCCCGCCGAGACGGCAGUGCCGCCGGGCAGCGGGAUGCCGGAGCGAGGCGGGCCCCGGCUCUAGGCUAGGCUCGCACAUGGAACCGCGUCCCGCACGGCCCGUCCUUGUGCACGGCGGCACGUUCGCUGCUUCCUCCCACGCCGGAGCGCUGCAGCGAGGCACUAUCCGAGAGAUGGGGACUAGCGAAGGCUCGUGAAUGAAAAGAAACGCAGCAUAAGUGAAUCAAUGCGGGCUAACCGACUCGAGCCUGUGAAUAAAUUAUUAAUUUGCGCUCGCAGAAGAAUCCCCUCGAUAGAGCGAGCAUAGGAUGACAAGCUCCUCCACGGAGCGAGCGGCGUGGGGAACAGGAGGGAUUGGUCCAGUGGACUACAAGUUUAGAAAAGACCCAAAACAGAAAAAGCAGGGCCUGAAUGUGCGAGUAUUACUUAGUAGAGGGAGUACUGCAUCCUGCUACAGAAGACAACACUUCAAAUUUGAGAGGUCAGCUGCAAAGCUUGGCUUCAAAAGCAACUCACAAUCACAACACCAGAGAACAGAAACAACUUCCUGGGCCAGAUAGCAACUACAGAAUGCUGGAGAUGAUUGUUUUUAAGCAAAACAGAUGUUAGAGCCAAAUGUUUCUUGAUGCAAUCCUGUUCAUCUUCAGUGAGACAGCAUAAAGUCUUGUUUCCCUGAACACAGCAAGAGGAAGCAGUCCCUUUGCUCAAUGCCAGUUCUUCUUUCCUGACAGCUCUGUACCAACUGCUCUCCCCUACCAGCUGCAAGCUUCUAGUGCCUCAUCAGAAAUGGAUCCUCUACCAACCAAAAGAUGCUGUUGUUUCCACAUUCUGUCUUCUUUAAUGUCUUCAGUUUUAUGCAUAUUGGAUGUUCGGUAGGGGAUCUAAAACACCAGUCUGAGAUGUCCAAGUCCAAUCUCGUUUUCAGGCUGGUUGGGUUUUCUCAUUUGUUUGUAUUGUGGUUUCUUUGUGGUGUUUUUGUUUGUUUGUUUUUUAAGGUUCAUUCACAAAGCUUAAGUGUGAAGGAAAAUAUUUGCUGAAAUUCACAAACUGGUUUAUUUUUCACCACGGUUGUUAGAGCUAUGCAUAAGAGACCCACAAUAUUUGAAUAAAUAUUUCUGCUAAGAUUACUGUGAUUACA
RNAcentral lists this long non-coding RNA (1223 nucleotides) under Phasianus colchicus (ring-necked pheasant). RNAcentral describes it as "lncRNA (ENSPCLG00000000806.1)". The record is from RNAcentral. Lineage: Eukaryota; Metazoa; Chordata; Aves; Galliformes; Phasianidae.